GUCUCUGCUCUCAAAUGAAGCCAAAAUAUUUGAACAUCUAAAACUAUAUGGAGAAAAGUCAAAAGUGAAGCCAAAGUCAGAAAAGGAAGCGUAGCUUUACACGCAUGAUAAACAUUCCAGAAUUUCAAACGAUUUCCAAAAUUUUAUAAAACAGAACCGAAAGAUUCCAAAUGGACAGUUAAUUUCAAUUAAUCAAUAUCUGUAUUUGUAAGCCGAUACAGAUAUACUAGCUUCUGGAAUGGAGAUACCAUCGAUGACUAUGAAGAUUGAAUGGAAC
RNAcentral lists this long non-coding RNA (277 nucleotides) under Mytilus galloprovincialis (Mediterranean mussel). Lineage: Eukaryota; Metazoa; Mollusca; Bivalvia; Mytilida; Mytilidae. The record is from RNAcentral.